CCUACGGGAGGCAGCAGUGGGGAAUAUUGGGCAAUGGACGCAAGUCUGAACCAGCCAUGCCGCGUGCAGGCAGACGGCUCUAUGAGUUGUAAACUGCUUUUGUACGAGAGUAAACGCAGAUACGCGUAUCUGUCUGAAAGUAUCGUACUAAUAAGGAUCGGCUAACUCCGUGCCAGCAGCCGCGGUAAUACGGAGGAUUCAAGCGUUAUCCGGAUUUAUUGGGUUUAAAGGGUGCGUAGGCGGUCGGAUAAGUUAGAGGUGAAAUCCCGAGGCUCAACUGCGGAAUUGCCUCUGAUACUGUUCGGAUAGAGAGUAGUUGUGGUAGGCGGAAUGUAUGGUGUAGCGGUGAAAUGCUUAGAGAUCAUACAGAACACCGAUUGCGAAGGCAGCUUACCAAGCUACUUCUGACGUUGAGGCACGAAAGCGUGGGGAGCAAACAGGAUUAGAUACCCCGGUAGUC
RNAcentral lists this ribosomal RNA (460 nucleotides) under uncultured bacterium. Its description in RNAcentral is "partial 16S ribosomal RNA". It matches the Rfam family "Bacterial small subunit ribosomal RNA", at positions 338 to 795 of the family's 1533-position model. The record is from RNAcentral.